GGCGAACUGCACAUCCCGACAGAAGACACUUAUACCUCGGGGCCUUACUGAUCUUUAGGGAGCUGUCCCUGGAGAGGCUCCUGGGCUUCUUCACACGGCGCCCACCUACGUUGUAGGCACCCAGAGGAUCAACCUCUUCAUCGUUUGUCGUGGUCGCCA
This 159-nucleotide small RNA is filed under the name Pseudochrobactrum asaccharolyticum. RNAcentral describes it as "6S / SsrS RNA". Lineage: Bacteria; Pseudomonadati; Pseudomonadota; Alphaproteobacteria; Hyphomicrobiales; Brucellaceae. The record is from RNAcentral.